CCUACGGGUGGCUGCAGUGGGGAAUAUUGCACAAUGGGGGAAACCCUGAUGCAGCGACGCCGCGUGAACGAGACGCCCUUCGGGGUGUAAAGUUCUGUCAGUGGGGACGAAAAAUGACGGUACCCACAGAGGAAGCACCGGCUAACUCCGUGCCAGCAGCCGCGGUAAUACGGAGGGUGUAAGCGUUGUCCGGAAUCAUUGGGCGUAAAGAGUUCGUAGGCGGCAUGUAAAGUCAGGUGUUAAAGGCGCAGGCUCAACCUGUGUAUGGCACUUGAUACUUGCAAGCUGGAAUGCGGUAGAGGUAAAGGGAAUUCCUGGUGUAGCGGUGAAAUGCUUAGAUAUCAGGAGGAACACCAGUGGCGAAGGCGGCUUACUGGACUGUAACUGACGUUGAGGCUCGAAAGCGUGGGGAGCAAACAGGAUUAGAUACCCGAGUAGUC
RNAcentral lists this ribosomal RNA (440 nucleotides) under uncultured bacterium. RNAcentral describes it as "partial 16S ribosomal RNA". It matches the Rfam family "Bacterial small subunit ribosomal RNA", at positions 338 to 795 of the family's 1533-position model. The record is from RNAcentral.